RNAcentral lists this unclassified non-coding RNA (248 nucleotides) under Hevea brasiliensis (rubber tree). Lineage: Eukaryota; Viridiplantae; Streptophyta; Magnoliopsida; Malpighiales; Euphorbiaceae. The record is from RNAcentral.
CCACAGCGCGUCUAUGAAGAGAUGAGCAAGGCGUUCGGUCGUGACACCUGCUACGUCAGCGUGAUCGGAUUGUCGCAGAUCGCCGGUGCGCAAUUCCUUGGCGUCUAUCGCCCGCGCAACUGGAUCAAUGCCGGACAGGCCGGCCCGCUCGGCUGGACCCUGCCCGCAGCGCUGGGCGUCCGUGCCGCAGAUCCGGAACGCGAGAUCGUCGCACUGUCCGGCGAUUACGACUUCCAGUUCCUGAUCGA